RNAcentral lists this ribosomal RNA (796 nucleotides) under Salmonella enterica subsp. enterica serovar Choleraesuis. RNAcentral's name for it is "partial 23S ribosomal RNA". It matches the Rfam family "Bacterial large subunit ribosomal RNA", at positions 161 to 994 of the family's 2925-position model. Lineage: Bacteria; Pseudomonadati; Pseudomonadota; Gammaproteobacteria; Enterobacterales; Enterobacteriaceae. The record is from RNAcentral.
AAUCCAUAGGUUAAUGAGGCGAACCGGGGGAACUGAAACAUCUAAGUACCCCGAGGAAAAGAAAUCAACCGAGAUUCCCCCAGUAGCGGCGAGCGAACGGGGAGGAGCCCAGAGCCUGAAUCAGCAUGUGUGUUAGUGGAAGCGUCUGGAAAGGCGCGCGAUACAGGGUGACAGCCCCGUACACAAAAGCGCAUGUGCUGUGAGCUCGAUGAGUAGGGCGGGACACGUGGUAUCCUGUCUGAAUAUGGGGGGACCAUCCUCCAAGGCUAAAUACUCCUGACUGACCGAUAGUGAACCAGUACCGUGAGGGAAAGGCGAAAAGAACCCCGGCGAGGGGAGUGAAAAAGAACCUGAAACCGUGUACGUACAAGCAGUGGGAGCACAGGUUUACCUGUGUGACUGCGUACCUUUUGUAUAAUGGGUCAGCGACUUAUAUUCUGUAGCAAGGUUAACCGUAUAGGGGAGCCGUAGGGAAACCGAGUCUUAACCGGGCGUUAAGUUGCAGGGUAUAGACCCGAAACCCGGUGAUCUAGCCAUGGGCAGGUUGAAGGUUGGGUAACACUAACUGGAGGACCGAACCGACUAAUGUUGAAAAAUUAGCGGAUGACCUGUGGCUGGGGGUGAAAGGCCAAUCAAACCGGGAGAUAGCUGGUUCUCCCCGAAAGCUAUUUAGGUAGCGCCUCGUGAAUUCAUCUCCGGGGGUAGAGCACUGUUUCGGCUAGGGGGCCAUCCCGGCUUACCAACCCGAUGCAAACUGCGAAUACCGGAGAAUGUUAUCACGGGAGACACACGGCGG